RNAcentral lists this ribosomal RNA (450 nucleotides) under uncultured bacterium. Its description in RNAcentral is "bacterial SSU rRNA". It matches the Rfam family "Bacterial small subunit ribosomal RNA", at positions 29 to 526 of the family's 1533-position model. The record is from RNAcentral.
AACGAACGCUGGCGGCAGGCUUAACACAUGCAAGUCGAACGCCCCGCAAGGGGAGUGGCAGACGGGUGAGUAACGCGUGGGAAUCUACCCAGUUCUACGGAACAACACAGGGAAACUUGUGCUAAUACCGUAUACGCCCCAUGGGGGAAAGAUUUAUCGGAAUUGGAUGAGCCCGCGUAAGAUUAGCUAGUUGGUGGGGUAACGGCCUACCAAGCCGACGAUCCAUAGCUGGUCUGAGAGGAUGAUCAGCCACACUGGGACUGAGACACGGCCCAGACUCCUACGGGAGGCAGCAGUGGGGAAUCUUAGACAAUGGGGGCAACCCUGAUCUAGCCAUGCCGCGUGAGUGAUGAAGGCCCUAGGGUUGUAAAGCUCUUUCAGCUGGGAAGAUAAUGACGGUACCAGCAGAAGAAGCCCCGGCUAACUCCGUGCCAGCCGCCGCCGUAACAC